CUUAUAUAUUAAAAUAAGGUAGAAUUUAAUAACUUUUUCAUUUUUUCCUUACUCUAAUAAAUGUGAAAAGAGAUUAAUGUCAUAAAAGAAAAAAUAAUAUUAAAUGGAGAUCAAAUAAUUAAUAAGGUAAAUUAGUGAAAUUAUAAUUCUAAUUGAUGUUUCCUUAAAAAACCGUGUAAAAGAAAACAUGGCAAGUAAAAUGAGUUAAACCAAAAAUAUUUACCAAAAAUUAAAAAAUAGUAGUUCUUCAUUUAAAUAGAAAAUCAAAUUUCUACUUUGUUUCAUUUUAAACAUGUAAAAUUAAUAUAAUAAUUUGAAUUAGAAUUAUCCAAAUCAAAAUUUGAUAAAAAAUAAUAGGUAUUGUUUAGGCCCAAUCUACAUACAUUAACAAUAGAAUAUUUUACACUUUUAAAUUAAUCGAAUUAAAAUUUAAAAGAAAAAUGGUUUCCUUUUAAAUAAGUCUAUUAAUAAAUUUUUCCCAACUUUGUAUUCGUAGCAAACACUAAUAUAAUAAAGUUUUGGAUAUGGAGCACAAACUACAAUAUUUUAUUAAUCGUGUUUUGAACAAUAUAUAUUACUUUACUACUAUAUAGAAGAGCCGGUUUAUAAGCAAGAUCGUCGUCCGUCCUUUGGUCCCACUUUUUUAUUUAAGGGCAAAAAAAUCCUUUGUGGUCCCACCCACUUUUUUAUUUAAGGGCAAAAAAAUGACAUUUUAUACUUUAUAUUACCAACUCUUUUAAAAAGUAGAUAGAAAUACUUUAUUAUAUUUCUAUUUUUCUACUAUAUAGAAGCAUCGGUUUACCCAUGCUUCAUCGUCAGUCACUCUUAAAAAAAAAUGCUUCUAUAUAGUUAAAAAAAAAGAAGGAAAAAAGUGGACCCCACCCUCUCCAAACUCAUAAAAAAAAGGGUGGACCCCACCCUCUCCAAACUCAUGAAAAAAAAGUGGACCCCAUAUUAAAAAAAAACAAGCAAUGUCAAAAAAAAAAAAAAAGUGCACCCCAUAUAUUAAAAAAUCAAACAA
Lycium ferocissimum is the source of this 1021-nucleotide long non-coding RNA. RefSeq lists it as uncharacterized. The transcript is spliced from 2 exons. Lineage: Eukaryota; Viridiplantae; Streptophyta; Magnoliopsida; Solanales; Solanaceae. The record is from RefSeq and is a predicted model, not a curated record.